RNAcentral lists this transfer RNA (73 nucleotides) under Marmota monax (woodchuck). It matches the Rfam family "tRNA". Rfam says of the family: Transfer RNA (tRNA) molecules are approximately 80 nucleotides in length. The record is from Rfam by way of RNAcentral. Lineage: Eukaryota; Metazoa; Chordata; Mammalia; Rodentia; Sciuridae.
GGGGAUAUAGCUCACUUGGUAUAGUGCUUGCCUUGCAUGCAUGAGACCCUGGGUUCAAUCCCUAGGAUCCCCA